AGUGAACGCUGGCGGUAGGCCUAACACAUGCAAGUCGAACGGCAGCACAGUAAGAGCUUGCUCUUACGGGUGGCGAGUGGCGGACGGGUGAGGAAUACAUCGGAAUCUACUUUUUUGUGGGGGAUAACGUAGGGAAACUUACGCUAAUACCGCAUACGACCUACGGGUGAAAGCAGGGGAUCUUCGGACCUUGCGCGAUUGAAUGAGCCGAUGUCGGAUUAGCUAGUUGGCGGGGUAAAGGCCCACCAAGGCGACGAUCCGUAGCUGGUCUGAGAGGAUGAUCAGCCACACUGGAACUGAGACACGGUCCAGACUCCUACGGGAGGCAGCAGUGGGGAAUAUUGGACAGUGGGCGAAAGCCUGAUCCAGCCAUACCGCGUGGGUGAAGAAGGCCUUCGGGUUGUAAAGCCCUUUUGUUGGGAAAGAAAAGCAGCAGGUUAAUACCCCGCUGUUCUGACGGUACCCAAAGAAUAAGCACCGGCUAACUGCGU
This 491-nucleotide ribosomal RNA is filed under the name uncultured bacterium. RNAcentral describes it as "partial 16S ribosomal RNA". It matches the Rfam family "Bacterial small subunit ribosomal RNA", at positions 29 to 506 of the family's 1533-position model. The record is from RNAcentral.